GUGGCGAACGGGUGAGUAACACGUGAGUAACCUGCCCUUAACUCUGGGAUAAGCCUGGGAAACUGGGUCUAAUACCGGAUAUGACUCCUCAUCGCAUGGUGGGGGGUGGAAAGCUUUUGUGGUUUUGGAUGGACUCGCGGCCUAUCAGCUUGUUGGUGAGGUAAUGGCUCACCAAGGCGACGACGGGUAGCCGGCCUGAGAGGGUGACCGGCCACACUGGGACUGAGACACGGCCCAGACUCCUACGGGAGGCAGCAGUGGGGAAUAUUGCACAAUGGGCGCAAGCCUGAUGCAGCGACGCCGCGUGAGGGAUGACGGCCUUCGGGUUGUAAACCUCUUUCAGUAGGGAAGAAGCGAAAGUGACGGUACCUGCAGAAGAAGCGCCGGCUAACUACGUGCCAGCAGCCGCGGUAAUACGUAGGGCGCAAGCGUUAUCCGGAAUUAUUGGGCGUAAAGAGCUCGUAGGCGGUUUGUCGCGUCUGCCGUGAAAGUCCGGGGCUCAACUCCGGAUCUGCGGUGGGUACGGGCAGACUAGAGUGAUGUAGGGGAGACUGGAAUUCCUGGUGUAGCGGUGAAAUGCGCAGAUAUCAGGAGGAACACCGAUGGCGAAGGCAGGUCUCUGGGCAUUAACUGACGCUGAGGAGCGAAAGCAUGGGGAGCGAACAGGAUUAGAUACCCUGGUAGUCCAUGCCGUAAACGUUGGGCACUAGGUGUGGGG
This 718-nucleotide ribosomal RNA is filed under the name Micrococcaceae bacterium. RNAcentral describes it as "bacterial SSU rRNA". It matches the Rfam family "Bacterial small subunit ribosomal RNA", at positions 95 to 827 of the family's 1533-position model. The record is from RNAcentral. Lineage: Bacteria; Bacillati; Actinomycetota; Actinomycetes; Micrococcales; Micrococcaceae.